GCUAACGUUCUCUCCUUAACAGUUUUACUGGAUGGAAACACAGCAAGAAAACACAUAGGCCAAUAUGUAAUAGUCGUCUAUUUUAUUGAAGUAUUGGUAGUUGGUUCAACAACAACUUGUUUUACUAGAGGACAAAAAAAAUGGAAUAUGCAUAACCCAUAUUUAAUAUUCAUGCAGUGACUGAACAACAACUGCAUUUCCACCCCCACCUCUAAAGGCAUAGUAUCAUGGCAGGUCACCUGUCAAGUCACCUGUCAGGCAGACUUUGCAGUGCCUCCGUGUGCGACUACCUUGAGCAGCAGUUUGAGGGACUUUGCAGGGAAAAUGCCGUGCAGUGAGGCGUAGGGGAUUGUCUACAGCAGGGCGAGUCCAGUGGAGGGGCGCCGAAGGGUGUGGUGCUCCUCCAACAGCUCUCUCAUGAGGUUCUCUCUGUAUUUUUGUAAUGCUGUCUUGAGGUAGACAUUAGAAGACAAGCGUGUCCUCCUUCGUUUAAAGAUUUUGUGCGAG
RNAcentral lists this long non-coding RNA (507 nucleotides) under Salmo salar (Atlantic salmon). Its description in RNAcentral is "lncRNA (ENSSSAG00000107950.1)". The record is from RNAcentral. Lineage: Eukaryota; Metazoa; Chordata; Actinopteri; Salmoniformes; Salmonidae.